AGCGUACACGGUGGAUGCCCUGGCAGUCAGAGGCGAUGAAGGACGUGCUAAUCUGCGAUAAGCGUCGGUAAGGUGAUAUGAACCGUUAUAACCGGCGAUUUCCGAAUGGGGAAACCCAGUGUGAUUCGUCACACUAUCAUUAACUGAAUCCAUAGGUUAAUGAGGCGAACCGGGGGAACUGAAACAUCUAAGUACCCCGAGGAAAAGAAAUCAACCGAGAUUCCCCCAGUAGCGGCGAGCGAACGGGGAGCAGCCCAGAGCCUGAAUCAGUGUGUGUGUUAGUGGAAGCGUCUGGAAAGGCGCGCGAUACAGGGUGACAGCCCCGUACACAAAAAUGCACAUGCUGUGAGCUCGAUGAGUAGGGCGGGACACGUGGUAUCCUGUCUGAAUAUGGGGGGACCAUCCUCCAAGGCUAAAUACUCCUGACUGACCGAUAGUGAACCAGUACCGUGAGGGAAAGGCGAAAAGAACCCCGGCGAGGGGAGUGAAAAAGAACCUGAAACCGUGUACGUACAAGCAGUGGGAGCCUCUUUAUGGGGUGACUGCGUACCUUUUGUAUAAUGGGUCAGCGACUUAUAUUCUGUAGCAAGGUUAACCGAAUAGGGGAGCCGAAGGGAAACCGAGUCUUAACUGGGCGUUAAGUUGCAGGGUAUAGACCCGAAACCCGGUGAUCUAGCCAUGGGCAGGUUGAAGGUUGGGUAACACUAACUGGAGGACCGAACCGACUAAUGUUGAAAAAUUAGCGGAUGACUUGUGGCUGGGGGUGAAAGGCCAAUCAAACCGGGAGAUAGCUGGUUCUCCCCGAAAGCUAUUUAGGUAGCGCCUCGUGAAUUCAUCUCCGGGGGUAGAGCACUGUUUCGGCAAGGGGGUCAUCCCGACUUACCAACCCGAUGCAAACUGCGAAUACCGGAGAAUGUUAUCACGGGAGACACACGGCGGGUGCUAACGUCCGUCGUGAAGAGGGAAACAACCCAGACCGCCAGCUAAGGUCCCAAAGUCAUGGUUAAGUGGGAAACGAUGUGGGAAGGCCCAGACAGCCAGGAUGUUGGCUUAGAAGCAGCCAUCAUUUAAAGAAAGCGUAAUAGCUCACUGGUCGAGUCGGCCUGCGCGGAAGAUGUAACGGGGCUAAACCAUGCACCGAAGCUGCGGCAGCGACGCUUAUGCGUUGUUGGGUAGGGGAGCGUUCUGUAAGCCUGCGAAGGUGUACUGUGAGGUAUGCUGGAGGUAUCAGAAGUGCGAAUGCUGACAUAAGUAACGAUAAAGCGGGUGAAAAGCCCGCUCGCCGGAAGACCAAGGGUUCCUGUCCAACGUUAAUCGGGGCAGGGUGAGUCGACCCCUAAGGCGAGGCCGAAAGGCGUAGUCGAUGGGAAACAGGUUAAUAUUCCUGUACUUGGUGUUACUGCGAAGGGGGGACGGAGAAGGCUAUGUUGGCCGGGCGACGGUUGUCCCGGUUUAAGCGUGUAGGCUGGUUUUCCAGGCAAAUCCGGAAAAUCAAGGCUGAGGCGUGAUGACGAGGCACUACGGUGCUGAAGCAACAAAUGCCCUGCUUCCAGGAAAAGCCUCUAAGCAUCAGGUAACAUCAAAUCGUACCCCAAACCGACACAGGUGGUCAGGUAGAGAAUACCAAGGCGCUUGAGAGAACUCGGGUGAAGGAACUAGGCAAAAUGGUGCCGUAACUUCGGGAGAAGGCACGCUGAUAUGNNNNNNNNNNNNNNUGCGGAUGGAGCUGAAAUCAGUCGAAGAUACCAGCUGGCUGCAACUGUUUAUUAAAAACACAGCACUGUGCAAACACGAAAGUGGACGUAUACGGUGUGACGCCUGCCCGGUGCCGGAAGGUUAAUUGAUGGGGUUAGCGGUAACGCGAAGCUCUUGAUCGAAGCCCCGGUAAACGGCGGCCGUAACUAUAACGGUCCUAAGGUAGCGAAAUUCCUUGUCGGGUAAGUUCCGACCUGCACGAAUGGCGUAAUGAUGGCCAGGCUGUCUCCACCCGAGACUCAGUGAAAUUGAACUCGCUGUGAAGAUGCAGUGUACCCGCGGCAAGACGGAAAGACCCCGUGAACCUUUACUAUAGCUUGACACUGAACAUUGAGCCUUGAUGUGUAGGAUAGGUGGGAGGCUUUGAAGUGUGGACGCCAGUCUGCAUGGAGCCGACCUUGAAAUACCACCCUUUAAUGUUUGAUGUUCUAACGUUGGCCCCUAAUCGGGGUUGCGGACAGUGUCUGGUGGGUAGUUUGACUGGGGCGGUCUCCUCCUAAAGAGUAACGGAGGAGCACGAAGGUUGGCUAAUCCUGGUCGGACAUCAGGAGGUUAGUGCAAUGGCAUAAGCCAGCUUGACUGCGAGCGUGACGGCGCGAGCAGGUGCGAAAGCAGGUCAUAGUGAUCCGGUGGUUCUGAAUGGAAGGGCCAUCGCUCAACGGAUAAAAGGUACUCCGGGGAUAACAGGCUGAUACCGCCCAAGAGUUCAUAUCGACGGCGGUGUUUGGCACCUCGAUGUCGGCUCAUCACAUCCUGGGGCUGAAGUAGGUCCCAAGGGUAUGGCUGUUCGCCAUUUAAAGUGGUACGCGAGCUGGGUUUAGAACGUCGUGAGACAGUUCGGUCCCUAUCUGCCGUGGGCGCUGGAGAACUGAGGGGGGCUGCUCCUAGUACGAGAGGACCGGAGUGGACGCAUCACUGGUGUUCGGGUUGUCAUGCCAAUGGCACUGCCCGGUAGCUAAAUGCGGAAGAGAUAAGUGCUGAAAGCAUCUAAGCACGAAACUUGCCCCGAGAUGAGUUCU
RNAcentral lists this ribosomal RNA (2774 nucleotides) under Escherichia coli. RNAcentral describes it as "bacterial LSU rRNA". It matches the Rfam family "Bacterial large subunit ribosomal RNA". The record is from RNAcentral. Lineage: Bacteria; Pseudomonadati; Pseudomonadota; Gammaproteobacteria; Enterobacterales; Enterobacteriaceae.